CCUUUUGUAUAAUGGGUCAGCGACUUACAUUCAGUGGCAAGCUUAACCGAAUAGGGGAGGCGAAGAGAAAUCGAGUCCGAAUAGGGCGACUAGUCGCUGGGUGUAGACCCGAAACCAAGUGAUCUAUCCAUGGCCAGGAUGAAGGUGCCGUAACAGGUACUGGAGGUCCGAACCCACUAAUGUUGCAAAAUUAGGGGAUGAGCUGUGGAUAGGGGUGAAAGGCUAAACAAACUUGGAAAUAGCUGGUUCUCUCCGAAAACUAUUUAGGUAGUGCCUCAAGUAUUACCGUCGGGGGUAGAGCACUGUUUAGGCUAGGGGGUCAUGGCGACUUACCAAACCUAUGCAAACUCCGAAUACCGACGAGUACAGCUUGGGAGACAGAGCACCGGGUGCUAACGUCCGGACUCAAGAGGGAAACAACCCAGACCGCCAGCUAAGGUCCCUAAAAUUGGCUAAGUGGGAAACGAAG
RNAcentral lists this ribosomal RNA (469 nucleotides) under Comamonas testosteroni. RNAcentral's name for it is "bacterial LSU rRNA". It matches the Rfam family "Bacterial large subunit ribosomal RNA", at positions 604 to 1075 of the family's 2925-position model. The record is from RNAcentral. Lineage: Bacteria; Pseudomonadati; Pseudomonadota; Betaproteobacteria; Burkholderiales; Comamonadaceae.